GGUAAUUUUCCGCAAUGGGCGAAAGCCUGACGGAGCAAUACCGCGUGAGGGACGACGGCUUUUGGGUUGUAAACCUCUUUUCCCUGGGAAGAAGAUCUGACGGUACCAGGGGAAUCAGCAUCGGCUAACUUCGUGCCAGCAGCCGCGGUAAUACGAGGGAUGCAAGCGUUAUCCGGAAUUAUUGGGCGUAAAGCGUCCGCAGGUGGCUUUGUAAGUCUGUCGUUAAAGCGUGGAGCUCAACUCCAUAUCGGCGAUGGAAACUACAAGACUAGAGUUUGGUAGGGGUCACGGGAAUUCCUAGUGUAGCGGUGAAAUGCGUAGAUAUUAGGAAGAACACCAGCGGCGAAAGCGCGUGACUGGGCCAAUACUGACACUCAUGGACGAAAGCUAGGGGAGCGAAAGGGAUUAGAUACCCCUGUAGUCCUAGCCGUAAACGAUGAUAACUAGGUGUUGCUCGUAUCGACCCGAGCAGUGCCGUAGCCAACGCGUUAAGUUAUCCG
Molecule: ribosomal RNA, 500 nt
Filed under: uncultured cyanobacterium
Lineage: Bacteria; Bacillati; Cyanobacteriota
Description: bacterial SSU rRNA
Rfam family: Bacterial small subunit ribosomal RNA
Source: RNAcentral